GGUUAAGCGACUAAGCGUACACGGUGGAUGCCCUGGCAGUCAGAGGCGAUGAAGGACGUGCUAAUCUGCGAUAAGCGUCGGUAAGGUGAUAUGAACCGUUAUAACCGGCGAUUUCCGAAUGGGGAAACCCAGUGUGUUUCGACACACUAUCAUUAACUGAAUCCAUAGGUUAAUGAGGCGAACCGGGGGAACUGAAACAUCUAAGUACCCCGAGGAAAAGAAAUCAACCGAGAUUCCCCCAGUAGCGGCGAGCGAACGGGGAGCAGCCCAGAGCCUGAAUCAGUGUGUGUGUUAGUGGAAGCGUCUGGAAAGGCGCGCGAUACAGGGUGACAGCCCCGUACACAAAAAUGCACAUGCUGUGAGCUCGAUGAGUAGGGCGGGACACGUGGUAUCCUGUCUGAAUAUGGGGGGACCAUCCUCCAAGGCUAAAUACUCCUGACUGACCGAUAGUGAACCAGUACCGUGAGGGAAAGGCGAAAAGAACCCCGGCGAGGGGAGUGAAAAAGAACCUGAAACCGUGUACGUACAAGCAGUGGGAGCACGCUUAGGCGUGUGACUGCGUACCUUUUGUAUAAUGGGUCAGCGACUUAUAUUGUGUAGCAAGGUUAACCGAAUAGGGGAGCCGAAGGGAAACCGAGUCUUAACUGGGCGUUAAGUUGCAGGGUAUAGACCCGAAACCCGGUGAUCUAGCCAUGGGCAGGUUGAAGGUUGGGUAACACUAACUGGAGGACCGAACCGACUAAUGUUGAAAAAUUAGCGGAUGACUUGUGGCUGGGGGUGAAAGGCCAAUCAAACCGGGAGAUAGCUGGUUCUCCCCGAAAGCUAUUUAGGUAGCGCCUCGUGAAUUCAUCUCCGGGGGUAGAGCACUGUUUCGGCAAGGGGGUCAUCCCGACUUACCAACCCGAUGCAAACUGCGAAUACCGGAGAAUGUUAUCACGGGAGACACACGGCGGGUGCUAACGUCCGUCGUGAAGAGGGAAACAACCCAGACCGCCAGCUAAGGUCCCAAAGUCAUGGUUAAGUGGGAAACGAUGUGGGAAGGCCCAGACAGCCAGGAUGUUGGCUUAGAAGCAGCCAUCAUUUAAAGAAAGCGUAAUAGCUCACUGGUCGAGUCGGCCUGCGCGGAAGAUGUAACGGGGCUAAACCAUGCACCGAAGCUGCGGCAGCGACGCUUAUGCGUUGUUGGGUAGGGGAGCGUUCUGUAAGCCUGUGAAGGUGUGCUGUGAGGCAUGCUGGAGGUAUCAGAAGUGCGAAUGCUGACAUAAGUAACGAUAAAGCGGGUGAAAAGCCCGCUCGCCGGAAGACCAAGGGUUCCUGUCCAACGUUAAUCGGGGCAGGGUGAGUCGACCCCUAAGGCGAGGCCGAAAGGCGUAGUCGAUGGGAAACAGGUUAAUAUUCCUGUACUUGGUGUUACUGCGAAGGGGGGACGGAGAAGGCUAUGUUGGCCGGGCGACGGUUGUCCCGGUUUAAGCGUGUAGGCUGGUUUUCCAGGCAAAUCCGGAAAAUCAAGGCUGAGGCGUGAUGACGAGGCACUACGGUGCUGAAGCAACAAAUGCCCUGCUUCCAGGAAAAGCCUCUAAGCAUCAGGUAACAUCAAAUCGUACCCCAAACCGACACAGGUGGUCAGGUAGAGAAUACCAAGGCGCUUGAGAGAACUCGGGUGAAGGAACUAGGCAAAAUGGUGCCGUAACUUCGGGAGAAGGCACGCUGAUAUGUAGGUGAAGUCCCUCGCGGAUGGAGCUGAAAUCAGUCGAAGAUACCAGCUGGCUGCAACUGUUUAUUAAAAACACAGCACUGUGCAAACACGAAAGUGGACGUAUACGGUGUGACGCCUGCCCGGUGCCGGAAGGUUAAUUGAUGGGGUCAGCGCAAGCGAAGCUCUUGAUCGAAGCCCCGGUAAACGGCGGCCGUAACUAUAACGGUCCUAAGGUAGCGAAAUUCCUUGUCGGGUAAGUUCCGACCUGCACGAAUGGCGUAAUGAUGGCCAGGCUGUCUCCACCCGAGACUCAGUGAAAUUGAACUCGCUGUGAAGAUGCAGUGUACCCGCGGCAAGACGGAAAGACCCCGUGAACCUUUACUAUAGCUUGACACUGAACAUUGAGCCUUGAUGUGUAGGAUAGGUGGGAGGCUUUGAAGUGUGGACGCCAGUCUGCAUGGAGCCGACCUUGAAAUACCACCCUUUAAUGUUUGAUGUUCUAACGUUGACCCGUAAUCCGGGUUGCGGACAGUGUCUGGUGGGUAGUUUGACUGGGGCGGUCUCCUCCUAAAGAGUAACGGAGGAGCACGAAGGUUGGCUAAUCCUGGUCGGACAUCAGGAGGUUAGUGCAAUGGCAUAAGCCAGCUUGACUGCGAGCGUGACGGCGCGAGCAGGUGCGAAAGCAGGUCAUAGUGAUCCGGUGGUUCUGAAUGGAAGGGCCAUCGCUCAACGGAUAAAAGGUACUCCGGGGAUAACAGGCUGAUACCGCCCAAGAGUUCAUAUCGACGGCGGUGUUUGGCACCUCGAUGUCGGCUCAUCACAUCCUGGGGCUGAAGUAGGUCCCAAGGGUAUGGCUGUUCGCCAUUUAAAGUGGUACGCGAGCUGGGUUUAGAACGUCGUGAGACAGUUCGGUCCCUAUCUGCCGUGGGCGCUGGAGAACUGAGGGGGGCUGCUCCUAGUACGAGAGGACCGGAGUGGACGCAUCACUGGUGUUCGGGUUGUCAUGCCAAUGGCACUGCCCGGUAGCUAAAUGCGGAAGAGAUAAGUGCUGAAAGCAUCUAAGCACGAAACUUGCCCCGAGAUGAGUUCUCCCUGACUCCUUGAGAGUCCUGAAGGAACGUUGAAGACGACGACGUUGAUAGGCCGGGUGUGUAAGCGCAGCGAUGCGUUGAGCUAACCGGUACUAAUGAACCGUGAGGCUUAACCUU
Molecule: ribosomal RNA, 2904 nt
Filed under: Escherichia coli
Lineage: Bacteria; Pseudomonadati; Pseudomonadota; Gammaproteobacteria; Enterobacterales; Enterobacteriaceae
Description: 23S ribosomal RNA
Rfam family: Bacterial large subunit ribosomal RNA
Source: RNAcentral